RNAcentral lists this ribosomal RNA (116 nucleotides) under uncultured bacterium. RNAcentral describes it as "partial 16S ribosomal RNA". It matches the Rfam family "Bacterial small subunit ribosomal RNA", at positions 1365 to 1482 of the family's 1533-position model. The record is from RNAcentral.
AAUACGUUCCCGGGUCUUGUACACACCGCCCGUCACACCAUGGGAGCGGGUUUUACCAGAAGUAGGUAGCUUAACCGUAAGGGGCGCUUACCACGGUAGGACUCGUGACUGGGGUG